UACGUAGGGCGCAAGCGUUGUCCGGAAUUAUUGGGCGUAAAGAGCUCGUAGGCGGUUUGUCGCGUCUGCUGUGAAAACCUAAGGCUCAACCUUGGGCUUGCAGUGGGUACGGGCAGACUAGAGUGCGGUAGGGGUGACUGGAAUUCCUGGUGUAGCGGUGGAAUGCGCAGAUAUCAGGAAGAACACCCGUGGCGAAGGCGGCUCUCUGGGACGGUACUGACGCUGAGACGCGAAAGCGUGGGGAGCGAACAGG
RNAcentral lists this ribosomal RNA (253 nucleotides) under uncultured bacterium. RNAcentral describes it as "partial 16S ribosomal RNA". It matches the Rfam family "Bacterial small subunit ribosomal RNA", at positions 524 to 776 of the family's 1533-position model. The record is from RNAcentral.